AAUAAGAUCAUUUUUUAGUGUUUUGAUACAUGUUUUGACUCUUUGUCUUAUUUGAAAUUAUUUUGCUAUUAAUAUUUUAUUCUUACUAGAUGAUAAAACAUGAACAGUACUUUAUACGUGACUAAUUUUUUUUUGUAAGUUUUUGUAUAAAUUUUUCAAAUACGACGAAUGGUCAAACGUUGGACGCGGAAAAAC
This 195-nucleotide microRNA precursor is filed under the name Oryza brachyantha (malo sina). RNAcentral describes it as "MIR812 microRNA precursor family". It matches the Rfam family "MIR812 microRNA precursor family". The record is from Rfam by way of RNAcentral. Lineage: Eukaryota; Viridiplantae; Streptophyta; Magnoliopsida; Poales; Poaceae.